Molecule: ribosomal RNA, 379 nt
Filed under: uncultured cyanobacterium
Lineage: Bacteria; Bacillati; Cyanobacteriota
Description: bacterial SSU rRNA
Rfam family: Bacterial small subunit ribosomal RNA
Source: RNAcentral
CGAAAGCCUGACGGAGCAAGACCGCGUGAGGGAGGAAGGCUCUUGGGUUGUAAACCUCUUUUCUCAGGGAAGAAGCUCUGACGGUACCUGAGGAAUCAGCCUCGGCUAACUCCGUGCCAGCAGCCGCGGUAAUACGGAGGAGGCAAGCGUUAUCCGGAAUUAUUGGGCGUAAAGCGUCCGCAGGUGGCGAUUCAAGUCUGCUGUCAAAGCCAGGAGCUCAACUCCUGUCCGGCAGUGGAAACUGACCCACUCGAGGGUGGUAGGGGUAGAGGGAAUUCCCAGUGUAGCGGUGAAAUGCGUAGAGAUCGGGAAGAACAUCGGUGGCGAAAGCGCUCUACUGGGCCGCGACUGCCGCUGAGGGACGAAAGCUAGGGGAGCG